CAGGAUGAACGCUAGCGGGAGGCUUAACACAUGCAAGUCGCGGGGCAGCAUGAUGUAGCAAGUACAGUUGAUGGCGACCGGCGCACGGGUGAGUAACGCGUAUGCAACCUGCCCAGUACAGGGGGAUAGCCCGGAGAAAUUCGGAUUAAUACCCCAUAAUGAUAAGAGAUGGCAUCAUUUUUUAUUAAAGUUACGGCGGUACUGGAUAGGCAUGCGUGACAUUAGCUAGUUGGUAGGGUAACGGCCUACCAAGGCAUCGAUGUCUAGGGGGUCCUGAGAGGGUGAUCCCCCACACUGGUACUGAGACACGGACCAGACUCCUACGGGAGGCAGCAGUAAGGAAUAUUGGACAAUGGAGGCAACUCUGAUCCAGCCAUGCCGCGUGCAGGAUGAAGGCCCUAUGGGUCGUAAACUGCUUUUGUACGAGAGAAAACCUAUUUACGUGUAGAUAGUUGAUAGUAUCGUAAGAAUAAGGAUCGGCUAACUUCGUG
RNAcentral lists this ribosomal RNA (491 nucleotides) under uncultured bacterium. Its description in RNAcentral is "bacterial SSU rRNA". It matches the Rfam family "Bacterial small subunit ribosomal RNA", at positions 25 to 507 of the family's 1533-position model. The record is from RNAcentral.